UUCCUACGGGGCGCAGCAGUGAGGAAUAUUGGUCAAUGGCCGAGAGGCUGAACCAGCCAAGUCGCGUGAGGGAUGACGGCCCUACGGGUUGUAAACCUCUUUUGCCGGGGAGCAAAGAGCGGGACGCGUCCCGCCUCGAGAGUACCCGGAGAAAAAGCAUCGGCUAACUCCGUGCCAGCAGCCGCGGUAAUACGGAGGAUGCGAGCGUUAUCCGGAUUUAUUGGGUUUAAAGGGUGCGCAGGCGGAGGUGCAAGUCAGCGGUCAAAUUGCGGGGCUCAACCCCGUACUGCCGUUGAAACUGCAUC
RNAcentral lists this ribosomal RNA (305 nucleotides) under uncultured bacterium. RNAcentral's name for it is "bacterial SSU rRNA". It matches the Rfam family "Bacterial small subunit ribosomal RNA", at positions 336 to 639 of the family's 1533-position model. The record is from RNAcentral.